AUUAUUACUAUUUAGUACUUUUCCUUCUGUUAUUAUUCUUUUUAUAUAUUUUUUAUUAUCCUUUUUUAUUUAUUCUUAUUGUCAUUUGUUUUAUUAUUUAUUCUUAUUUUUUAUUGAUUUUACCCUACUAUUUUUACUAUAGUAAUAUUGAUUUGAUUACCUAGAAUCGUCUAUUUCUUUUGUGUUUGUGGUUUCAUUAUUUUUCUUUAUUAUUAUUAAUUCUCAUUCCUAUUCUUUAGUUUCAUU
This 246-nucleotide long non-coding RNA is filed under the name Gossypium raimondii (Peruvian cotton). RNAcentral describes it as "long non-coding RNA (GRAI_LNC002167)". The record is from RNAcentral. Lineage: Eukaryota; Viridiplantae; Streptophyta; Magnoliopsida; Malvales; Malvaceae.